GCCGAUGUAGCUCAGUUGGUAGAGCAACGCUUUCGUAAAGCGUAGGUCAGCGGUUCAAGUCCGCUCAUCGGCUCCA
This 76-nucleotide transfer RNA is filed under the name bacterium. RNAcentral's name for it is "tRNA-Thr". It matches the Rfam family "tRNA". Rfam says of the family: Transfer RNA (tRNA) molecules are approximately 80 nucleotides in length. Their secondary structure includes four short double-helical elements and three loops (D, anti-codon, and T loops). The record is from RNAcentral.